Molecule: transfer RNA, 68 nt
Filed under: Micrura ignea
Lineage: Eukaryota; Metazoa; Nemertea; Pilidiophora; Heteronemertea; Lineidae
Description: tRNA-Ala
Source: RNAcentral
AGGCGCUGUACUUUAUAUAAAAGACCUGACUUGCAUUCAGGCAAAGAGCUGGUAGCUUCAGGGCCAAG